RNAcentral lists this ribosomal RNA (1476 nucleotides) under Streptococcus thermophilus. Its description in RNAcentral is "bacterial SSU rRNA". It matches the Rfam family "Bacterial small subunit ribosomal RNA". The record is from RNAcentral. Lineage: Bacteria; Bacillati; Bacillota; Bacilli; Lactobacillales; Streptococcaceae.
CAUGGCUCAGGACGAACGCUGGCGGCGUGCCUAAUACAUGCAAGUAGAACGCUGAAGAGAGGAGCUUGCUCUUCUUGGAUGAGUUGCGAACGGGUGAGUAACGCGUAGGUAACCUGCCUUGUAGCGGGGGAUAACUAUUGGAAACGAUAGCUAAUACCGCAUAACAAUGGAUGACACAUGUCAUUUAUUUGAAAGGGGCAAUUGCUCCACUACAAGAUGGACCUGCGUUGUAUUAGCUAGUAGGUGAGGUAAUGGCUCACCUAGGCGACGAUACAUAGCCGACCUGAGAGGGUGAUCGGCCACACUGGGACUGAGACACGGCCCAGACUCCUACGGGAGGCAGCAGUAGGGAAUCUUCGGCAAUGGGGGCAACCCUGACCGAGCAACGCCGCGUGAGUGAAGAAGGUUUUCGGAUCGUAAAGCUCUGUUGUAAGUCAAGAACGGGUGUGAGAGUGGAAAGUUCACACUGUGACGGUAGCUUACCAGAAAGGGACGGCUAACUACGUGCCAGCAGCCGCGGUAAUACGUAGGUCCCGAGCGUUGUCCGGAUUUAUUGGGCGUAAAGCGAGCGCAGGCGGUUUGAUAAGUCUGAAGUUAAAGGCUGUGGCUCAACCAUAGUUCGCUUUGGAAACUGUCAAACUUGAGUGCAGAAGGGGAGAGUGGAAUUCCAUGUGUAGCGGUGAAAUGCGUAGAUAUAUGGAGGAACACCGGUGGCGAAAGCGGCUCUCUGGUCUGUAACUGACGCUGAGGCUCGAAAGCGUGGGGAGCGAACAGGAUUAGAUACCCUGGUAGUCCACGCCGUAAACGAUGAGUGCUAGGUGUUGGAUCCUUUCCGGGAUUCAGUGCCGCAGCUAACGCAUUAAGCACUCCGCCUGGGGAGUACGACCGCAAGGUUGAAACUCAAAGGAAUUGACGGGGGCCCGCACAAGCGGUGGAGCAUGUGGUUUAAUUCGAAGCAACGCGAAGAACCUUACCAGGUCUUGACAUCCCGAUGCUAUUUCUAGAGAUAGAAAGUUACUUCGGUACAUCGGUGACAGGUGGUGCAUGGUUGUCGUCAGCUCGUGUCGUGAGAUGUUGGGUUAAGUCCCGCAACGAGCGCAACCCCUAUUGUUAGUUGCCAUCAUUCAGUUGGGCACUCUAGCGAGACUGCCGGUAAUAAACCGGAGGAAGGUGGGGAUGACGUCAAAUCAUCAUGCCCCUUAUGACCUGGGCUACACACGUGCUACAAUGGUUGGUACAACGAGUUGCGAGUCGGUGACGGCGAGCUAAUCUCUUAAAGCCAAUCUCAGUUCGGAUUGUAGGCUGCAACUCGCCUACAUGAAGUCGGAAUCGCUAGUAAUCGCGGAUCAGCACGCCGCGGUGAAUACGUUCCCGGGCCUUGUACACACCGCCCGUCACACCACGAGAGUUUGUAACACCCGAAGUCGGUGAGGUAACCUUUUGGAGCCAGCCGCCUAAGUGGGACAGAUGAUUGGG